Molecule: long non-coding RNA, 262 nt
Filed under: Astyanax mexicanus (Mexican tetra)
Lineage: Eukaryota; Metazoa; Chordata; Actinopteri; Characiformes; Acestrorhamphidae
Description: lncRNA (ENSAMXG00005011658.1)
Source: RNAcentral
CUCGCGCAGCAGCAGCAGCAGCAGCAUGGAGGAGCUUUUCCUCUCCGCUCCUCUACAGCGGCUGCACGGUUUCACUGAGGAGAUUCAGGGGACUGUAACUGACUGCAGAAGUGGAAGGGCAUCUACACACGGCAGCACUUCUCUCUUUCUGUCUUGCACAGUUUCUACAUAAUGACCUGUGAUUGUGAUGUAAACAGACACUCCUAAAGGUAAGACUGUUUUUGAAUUCUCUUAAAUUAUGCCUCCUUUUGUGCUUUGUAGA